This 253-nucleotide ribosomal RNA is filed under the name uncultured bacterium. RNAcentral's name for it is "partial 16S ribosomal RNA". It matches the Rfam family "Bacterial small subunit ribosomal RNA", at positions 524 to 776 of the family's 1533-position model. The record is from RNAcentral.
GACAGAGGGUGCAAACGUUGUUCGGAAUUACUGGGCGUAAAGCGCGUGUAGGCGGCUUGGCAAGUCGGAUGUGAAAGCCCAGGGCUCAACCCUGGAAGUGCACUCGAAACUGCCGAGCUGGAGUCCCGGAGAGGAAGGCGGAAUUCUCGGUGUAGAGGUGAAAUUCGUAGAUAUCGAGAGGAACACCUGUGGCGAAGGCGGCCUUCUGGACGGUGACUGACGCUGAGACGCGAAAGCGUGGGGAGCAAACAGG